UACGUAGGGUGCAAGCGUUAAUCGGAACUACUGGGCGUAAAGCGUGCGCAGGCGGUGAUGUAAGACAGUCGUGAAAUCCCCGGGCUCAACCUGGGAAUUGCGAUUGUGACUGCAUCGCUGGAGUGCGGCAGAGGGGGAUGGAAUUCCGCGUGUAGCAGUGAAAUGCGUAGAUAUGCGGAGGAACACCGAUGGCGAAGGCAAUCCCCUGGGCCUGCACUGACGCUCAUGCACGAAAGCGUGGGGAGCAAACAGG
RNAcentral lists this unclassified non-coding RNA (253 nucleotides) under uncultured Gammaproteobacteria bacterium. RNAcentral describes it as "contains 16S-23S intergenic spacer region". It matches the Rfam family "Bacterial small subunit ribosomal RNA", at positions 524 to 776 of the family's 1533-position model. Lineage: Bacteria; Pseudomonadati; Pseudomonadota; Gammaproteobacteria. The record is from RNAcentral.